Molecule: ribosomal RNA, 528 nt
Filed under: Botryosphaeria sp. IIFT-E64
Lineage: Eukaryota; Fungi; Ascomycota; Dothideomycetes; Botryosphaeriales; Botryosphaeriaceae
Description: eukaryotic LSU rRNA
Rfam family: 5.8S ribosomal RNA (bases 142-295)
Source: RNAcentral
UAAAUAGCGGGAUGUAGGAUCCGUAGGUGCUCUCGCGGCUUUGUGAACGUACCUCUGUUGCUUUGGCGGCUCCGGCCGCCAAAGGACCUCCAAACUCCAGUCAGUAAACGCAGACGUCUGAUAAACAAGUUAAUAAACUAAAACUUUCAACAACGGAUCUCUUGGUUCUGGCAUCGAUGAAGAACGCAGCGAAAUGCGAUAAGUAAUGUGAAUUGCAGAAUUCAGUGAAUCAUCGAAUCUUUGAACGCACAUUGCGCCCCUUGGUAUUCCGGGGGGCAUGCCUGUUCGAGCGUCAUUACAACCCUCAAGCUCUGCUUGGAAUUGGGCACCGUCCUCACUGCGGACGCGCCUCAAAGACCUCGGCGGUGGCUGUUCAGCCCUCAAGCGUAGUAGAAUACACCUCGCUUUGGAGUGGUUGGCGUCGCCCGCCGGACGAACCUUCUGAACUUUUCUCAAGGUUGACCUCGGAUCAGGUAGGGAUACCCGCUGAACUUAAGCAUAUCAUAAGCCCGGAGGAAGGAUCAUUAC